This 253-nucleotide ribosomal RNA is filed under the name uncultured bacterium. RNAcentral's name for it is "partial 16S ribosomal RNA". It matches the Rfam family "Bacterial small subunit ribosomal RNA", at positions 524 to 776 of the family's 1533-position model. The record is from RNAcentral.
UACGUAGGGCGCAAGCGUUAUCCGGAAUUAUUGGGCGUAAAGAGCUCGUAGGCGGUUUGUCGCGUCUGCCGUGAAAGUCCGGGGCUCAACCUCGGAUCGGCCGUGGCGACUCGUGGGCUGGAGCACUGUAGAGGCGGGUGGAAUUCCGGGUGUAGCGGUGGAAUGCGUAGAGAUCCGGAAGAACACCAGUGGCGAAGGCGGCCCGCUGGGCAGUGGCUGACGCUGAAGCGCGACAGCGUAGGGAGCAAACAGG